GCUGGGUGCAGUGGCACGUGCCUGUAGUCCCAGCUACUUGGGAGGCUGAAGUGGGGGGAUCGCUUGAGCCCAGGAGUUCUGGGCUGUACAGUGCGCUACGCCGAUCGGGUGUCAGCUCUAAGUUUGGCAUCAAUAUGGUGGCUUCCCGGCAGCGGGGGACCACCAGAUUGCCUAAGGAGGGGUGAACCAGCCCAGGUCGGAAACGGAGCAGGUCAAAACUCCCAUGCUGAUCAGUAGUGGGAUCACGCCUGUGAAUAGCCACUGCACUCCAGCCUGGGCAACACAGUGAGAAUCUGUCUCA
Molecule: signal recognition particle RNA, 301 nt
Filed under: Saimiri boliviensis boliviensis (Bolivian squirrel monkey)
Lineage: Eukaryota; Metazoa; Chordata; Mammalia; Primates; Cebidae
Description: Metazoan signal recognition particle RNA (ENSSBOG00000015808.1)
Rfam family: Metazoan signal recognition particle RNA
About the family: The signal recognition particle (SRP) is a universally conserved ribonucleoprotein.
Source: RNAcentral